RNAcentral lists this ribosomal RNA (465 nucleotides) under uncultured Klebsiella sp. Its description in RNAcentral is "bacterial SSU rRNA". It matches the Rfam family "Bacterial small subunit ribosomal RNA", at positions 338 to 795 of the family's 1533-position model. The record is from RNAcentral. Lineage: Bacteria; Pseudomonadati; Pseudomonadota; Gammaproteobacteria; Enterobacterales; Enterobacteriaceae.
CCUACGGGUGGCUGCAGUGGGGAAUAUUGCACAAUGGGCGCAAGCCUGAUGCAGCCAUGCCGCGUGGGUGAAGAGGGCCUUCGGGUUGUAAAGCACUUUCAGCGGGGAGGAAGGCGGUGAGGUUAAUAACCUCAUCGAUUGACGUUACCCGCAGAAGAAGCACCGGCUAACUCCGUGCCAGCAGCCGCGGUAAUACGGAGGGUGCAAGCGUUAAUCGGAAUUACUGGGCGUGAAGCGCACGCAGGCGGUCUGUCAAGUCGGAUGUGAAAUCCCCGGGCUCAACCUGGGAACUGCAUUCGAAACUGGCAGGCGAGAGUCUUGUAGAGGGGGGUAGAAUUCCAGGUGUAGCGGUGAAAUGCGUAGAGAUCUGGAGGAAUACCGGUGGCGAAGGCGGCCCCCUGGACAAAGACUGACGCUCAGGUGCGAAAGCGUGGGGAGCAAACAGGAUUAGAUACCCCGGUAGUC